Molecule: small nucleolar RNA, 138 nt
Organism: Tachyglossus aculeatus (Australian echidna)
Lineage: Eukaryota; Metazoa; Chordata; Mammalia; Monotremata; Tachyglossidae
Source: RefSeq, a predicted model, not a curated record
CCCCUCUCAGGGUCGCACCUGGUGAGUUUCCAGUACUCUACCAGUCUCGACUAUGGGAAGGACAGUCAAACAGCAGCUUACCCAUUCCAUUCCUAGCUUGGGCAGUGUCUAGCGAGUGGAAGGCAAUCUGCUACAAGU